RNAcentral lists this ribosomal RNA (433 nucleotides) under uncultured bacterium. RNAcentral describes it as "partial 16S ribosomal RNA". It matches the Rfam family "Bacterial small subunit ribosomal RNA", at positions 39 to 507 of the family's 1533-position model. The record is from RNAcentral.
GGGGGGGGGGGGGGGGGGGGGGGGGGGGGGGGGGGGGGGGGGGGCGGGCGGGGCGGGGGGGGCACGGGUGCGUGACGCGGGGGGGCCUGCGCGUCGUUGCGGGAUCACUCCCCGGCAGGGGUGCUAAUACCGGGUAAUUUCUUCGGACCCAAGAGUUCUCACUUUUGGAUGGGCACGCGUUGUCUUAGCUAGUUGGUGGGGUAACAGCCUACCAAGGCGAAGAUCCAUAGCUGGUCUGAGAGGAUGAUCAGCCACACUGGGAAUGAGACACGGCCCAGACUCCUACGGGAGGAAGCAGUGGGGAAUAUUGGACAAUGGGCGAAAGCCUGAUACAGCAAUGACGCGUGAGUGAUGAAGGCCUUAGGGUUGUAAAGCUCUUUUACCCGGGAUGAUAAUGACAGUACCGGGAGAAUAAGCGACGGCUAACUCCGUG